AACGAACGCUGGCGGCAUGCCUAACACAUGCAAGUCGAACGAAGCCUUCGGGCUUAGUGGCGCACGGGUGCGUAACGCGUGGAAAUCUGCCCCUUGCUUCGGAAUAACAGUUAGAAAUGACUGCUAAUACCGGAUGAAGUCUUCGGACCAAAGAUUUAUCGGCAAGGGAUGAGCCCGCGUAGGAUUAGGUAGUUGGUGGGGUAAAGGCCUACCAAGCCGACGAUCCUUAGCUGGUCUGAGAGGAUGAUCAGCCACACUGGGACUGAGACACGGCCCAGACUCCUACGGGAGGCAGCAGUGGGGAAUAUUGGACAAUGGACGCAAGUCUGAUCCAGCAAUGCCGCGUGAGUGAUGAAGGCCUUAGGGUUGUAAAGCUCUUUUACCAGGGAUGAUAAUGACAGUACCUGGAGAAUAAGCUGGCUAACUCCGUG
Molecule: ribosomal RNA, 431 nt
Filed under: uncultured bacterium
Lineage: Bacteria
Description: partial 16S ribosomal RNA
Rfam family: Bacterial small subunit ribosomal RNA
Source: RNAcentral